This 951-nucleotide long non-coding RNA is filed under the name Pan troglodytes (chimpanzee). Its description in RNAcentral is "long non-coding RNA NONPTRT016417". Lineage: Eukaryota; Metazoa; Chordata; Mammalia; Primates; Hominidae. The record is from RNAcentral.
AUGGAAUCACAAAAGACCCAGAAUAGCCAAAGCUAUUCUGGGCAAAAAGAACAAAACUGGAAGAAUCACAUUGCCUGACUUCAAAUUACAUUACAGAGCUAUAAUAACCCAAACAGCAUAGUUCUGGUAUAAAAACAGACAAAUAGACCAAUGGAACAGAAUAGAGAAUGCAGAUACAAAUUCACACACCUACAAUAAACUCACUUUUGAGAAAGGUGCCAAGAACAUACACUGGAAAAAAAGACAUUUUUUUCAAUAAGUAGUGCUGGGAAAACUGGAUAUUUAUAUACAGAAUGAAAUGUAUCUCCCACCAUAUGCAAAAAUCAAAAUAGACUAAAGAAUUAAACCUAAAACCUCAAACUGUGAAACUACUACAAGAAAACAUUUGGAAAAAUCUCUAGGAUAUUGCCUUGGGCAAAGAUUUUUUGAGUAAUACCACAUAAGCAGAGGCAACCAAAGCAAAAAUGGAUAAAUAGGAUUAUAUCAAGUUAAAAAGCCUAAGCACAGCAAAGGAAACAAUCAACAAAAUGAAGAGAAAACCCACAGCCCUCCAAACUGUUCUAACCUCUGCCUGUUACCCAGUUUCUAACUCACUUCCACAUCUUUGGGUAUCUUUUCAGCAAUGCCCCACUCUACUGGUACCAAUUUACUCUAUUAUUCCAUUUUCAGACUGUUGAUAAAGACAUACCUGAGACCGGGUAAUUUACAAAAGAAAGAGGUUUAAUGACUUAACAGUUCUACUUGGCUGGGGAGGCCUCACAAUCACGGUGGAAGGUGAAAGGUAUGUCUCACACAACGGCAGAGAAGAGAGCUUGUGCAGGGAGACUCCCCUCUAUAAAAUAAUCUGCUCUCAUGAAACUUAUUCACUAUUAUGAGAACAGCACAGGAAAGACCUGCCUCCAUGAUUCAAUUACCUCCCACCAAGUCCCUCCCAUAACAUGUGGGAAUUCA